UUUAGCUAAAGGUCAACUGUUUGCUAACAUCUGGAUUUGGACCAAGGGAAGGCCAUGCCAUUCCUUAGAGCCUGACCUAGGGAGGGCCUUGCCCCUCCUCCGGAUCUGAGACACUGGUGUCCUUGGCAUGGCUGUGCUCACGUCAACAGUACACACCCUAUUGGGACUUUAUUCAUUCACCACAAAGCAGCUCCUGGUCUCUGAAACACAAAGCUGACACAGAGAUUCUGCCCACUCUGUUGAUGAAGUUCACCCCUUUCCACUUCCUUGUGGGUACAAUGCGUGAAAGCUGGAAACCAAGCAACCCUCAUCAUCCAUGAAGUGCAAGCAAAUAUGUCUUCAUCAGCAUCACCUUUGGACUGGGAACUGUGGCCGUGGAAACAGGAAGAAUCAUAACCCGAGUUCCGAAGGUGCUCAUGGGACAGAAGACGAGCCACGAAGACGAAAGAGUCUUCAUUUGGAACUGUGUCUAGGAAAUGGUGUGAAGUGUCGGUAAAUGCGUAUGAUUCCGCUACGGUGCUCAAUGCUGACCUUGCAAAACGGGGCAGUCUUCUGGAUGUGCAUGUGAUGAAGAGAAGGA
Molecule: non-coding RNA, 580 nt
Organism: Myodes glareolus (Bank vole)
Lineage: Eukaryota; Metazoa; Chordata; Mammalia; Rodentia; Cricetidae
Source: RefSeq, a predicted model, not a curated record